This 940-nucleotide long non-coding RNA is filed under the name Aquilegia coerulea. Its description in RNAcentral is "long non-coding RNA (ACOE_LNC000033)". Lineage: Eukaryota; Viridiplantae; Streptophyta; Magnoliopsida; Ranunculales; Ranunculaceae. The record is from RNAcentral.
UAAAAACAAUGAAUACCUUUGGACUUGCUCAAUGAAGUCGUAAAGAAGAGAUGGUAGUAGAGUGAUAACCAUGUUUGUCACCACUAGUUUUGUGACAUUUAACUCUAUCCCUGAAACAAAAAAACUCAUUAAUAAAACCACUUUUUAUUAUCUUUAUACUUAGACUUUUUACAAGGAAUAUGCCGAAAAACAUUAGUCUUAAGUCUAGUAUCAAUGCAUGGAGUAGGAAAAAGUGCGGGCAGAAUAUAAUCAACAUCAUUGCUAUUCUUAAGAGAGCUCGACAUAACUAAGGAAGAAGAUGUCAAAUCUGUCUUAUUGGCCUCAUGUGCAAAAAAACAACAAUUAUAUUCUUCAUCCUUUUCAUGAUUAACCUUCUCUAAGGUCGCAAUUUGACAUAAUAAGUCCAACUUUUGUUUUUCAAAUAUUGCAGAGCAAGUAUUUGCAUCACUUAUAGCAUAACGAACUUGCUUUACUAAAAUAUUAUUUUUAUCCUGCAAAACAAGAAUACCUUUUCCAAAUCAUUGAUUUUGGAGUCAUAAACUUCCCCCUGAAGCAUAUAGUCGUCUGCACAAGAUCUGAGUCAUUGUUCUAAAGAAUCAAGCUUAGUCUACAAAACACCAUUAUCUUCAAAACAAAAAUUAUCAGAAAUAUCAAACAAAUUAGACAUAGUUUUAUUUAAUUUUUCCUACAAAUCAAUAUUAGCUUUUUGUAACCUUUCACAUUCUUUUGCAGAAAGUCAGUAAAGAAGAGCCCAAUCAUUAUUACUAACAACAUACAAAGCAUCAUCCUUUUCAAAAUCAUUUUUUGGUCCUAUGGAUUCAGACGAUUGAGCAAUAAAAUUAUCAUAAACAUACCCAUGAACCAUUAUUGCAUUGAUAGGAUCUACGCGUGAGCCAUUACGCUCCAUAACUAGCGCCCUGCGACUGAUAGCAAUUGAAAC